Molecule: ribosomal RNA, 490 nt
Filed under: uncultured bacterium
Lineage: Bacteria
Description: bacterial SSU rRNA
Rfam family: Bacterial small subunit ribosomal RNA
Source: RNAcentral
UCUGGCUCAGAUUGAACGCUGGCGGCAUGCCUUACACAUGCAAGUCGAACGGCAGCGGACCUUCGGGUGCCGGCGAGUGGCGAACGGGUGAGUAAUAUAUCGGAACGUACCUUCAGUGGGGAUAACGUAGCGAAAGUUACGCUAAUACCGCAUAUUCUGUGAGCAGGAAAGCAGGGGAUCGCAAGACCUUGCGCUGAUUGAGCGGCCGAUAUCAGAUUAGCUAGUUGGUGAGGUAAAGGCUCACCAAGGCGACGAUCUGUAGCGGGUCUGAGAGGAUGAUCCGCCACACUGGAACUGAGACACGGUCCAGACUCCUACGGGAGGCAGCAGUGGGGAAUUUUGGACAAUGGGCGCAAGCCUGAUCCAGCCAUGCCGCGUGAGUGAAGAAGGCCUUCGGGUUGUAAAGCUCUUUCGGCCGGGAAGAAAUCGCACAGGUUAAUACCCUGUGUGGAUGACGGUACCGGAAUAAGAAGCACCGGCUAACUCCGUG